Molecule: ribosomal RNA, 422 nt
Filed under: uncultured bacterium
Lineage: Bacteria
Description: partial 16S ribosomal RNA
Rfam family: Bacterial small subunit ribosomal RNA
Source: RNAcentral
AAUAUUGGACAAUGGGGGCAACCCUGAUCCAGCCAUGCCGCGUGUGUGACGAAGGUCUUCGGAUUGUAAAGAACUUUAAGUUGGGAGGAAGGGCCUUAGGUUAAGACCCUGCAGUUUUGACGUGACCAACAGAGUAAGCACAGGAUAUCUCUGUGCCAGCAGCAGCGGUAAUACAGAGGGUGCACGCGUUAAUCGGAAUGAGUGGGCGUAAAGCGCGCGUAGGUGGUUCAGUAAUAUGGGUGUGAAAGCCCCGUGCUUAACCUGGGAACUGCUUUCAUAACUGCUGAGCUAGAGUACGGUAGAGGGUAGUGGAGUUUCCUGUGUAGCGGUGAAAUGCGUAGAUAUAGGAAGGAACACCAGUGGCGAAGGCGACUACCUGGACUGAUACUGACACUGAGGUGCGAAAGCGUGGGUAGCAAACA